This is a long non-coding RNA of Anguilla rostrata (American eel), 4709 nucleotides long. RefSeq lists it as uncharacterized. The transcript is spliced from 3 exons. Lineage: Eukaryota; Metazoa; Chordata; Actinopteri; Anguilliformes; Anguillidae. The record is from RefSeq and is a predicted model, not a curated record.
AAGGAUGAAAGGGUGAAGACCGCGCCGCCCCUAAUCCCUUCACUACUUGCAGGAGUAAUCCUUUCCGUUUUUAGACGGGUUACAUCCGACAAGAGCUGAGUCUGUGACAAUAUAAUUUUACACCCGUACACAAGCUGGGUUGUGCGUCAGGUCCGGCAGUUACAUGUUUCAUCUAUGAAGCAGUACGACAUAGUACACUGGAAUCGAUCGUUUUCUUUCGUAUAUAUAAUGUGCUGUUUGUAACCUUUUUAAAGAGGCUAAACGAGAGCUGGGUGACGUGAGAAUCACACAACGUGAGGUCUGUGGCCAUAAUUUAAAGGCAAGUGACUUUGAAAAUGCAGUUUAAUUUAUUACGCUAGGCUAAUGAUAAAACCAUCAAUUAGCACACACGUCCAUGUGGAAUAUGCUUUGAUCUGUCAUGGUCGCUGGAUACAGCUGUAUUUCACGCAAGCCACACCCAUGAACACAAUGAACGCACUGCCUCACCAUGAUGCAAGCCAUGGUCCACUUGGCUGCUUCCUGGAUGAGCUGGACACUCUCCUGAACUCCCUCCCUGAGGAUGGCACUACUGGGAGACUUCAACCUCCCACCAGAGACCUCCCAACUAUCCAGGGCUGCCUCACUCCUCCAGUGUUUUGCCCUCUCCCAGUCUUCUUCUCCCCCGACACACAAGGCUGGUAACCAACUAGACUUGUAUUCACCAGAAGCUGCUCCAUUCCCCAACUCACAAUGACGCCCCUUCAUGUCUCAGACCACUUCUUUCUUUCUCCAUCUCCUACUCACCCACAACUCAUUUAACAGCUCACGCACAGUAACUUUCAGAAGAAAUCUCUCUACUUUGUCACAAUCCUACCUCCUCUCCACUGCUCUCUCUACACUUCCUCCUCCUGCUUCUUUCUCUAACCUGCCAGUUGACCUUGCUACCUCCACCCUCAACUCAUGCCUCUCCCAGUCCCUCGACUCACUCUGUCCUCUUGUCUCCAAACCAGCACGCUCUUCACCCCCCUGCCCAUGGCUGACUGAGUCACUACGGUCCACCAGAACAUCACUGCAGGCUGCAGAGAGGAAGUGGAGGAAAUCCAGAUCCUCUGAUGACUUGACCGCAUAUCACACCCUGCUGACAACUUUCACAUCUGCCCACAUAUCAGCUAAAGCCUCCAAUCAAAGAUCAGUGCAUGUAUCUCUGACCCACGCAAACUAUUCUCCACCUUCUCUUCCCUCCUCAUUCCUCCUCCACCCCCACCUCCCUCUUCCCUUUUCGCAGAUGACUUUCUGGCCACCUUUGAAGGAAAGGUGGCUAAAAUCCGGAACUCCUUUGCCCAUCCAGUGAGCACCCCUAACCCCCAGGACAAACCCACGGCCACACUGACCUCCUUCAAGGGGCUGGAGAAUUCGGAUGUACUCCAACUCAUCACUUCUCAUUGCACAACCACCUGUCCACUUGACCCCAUCCCAUCUACAGUCCUCCAAUCCAUAUCCGACAAGAUCCUUCCCUAUCUGUUGUGGCAAUCUGCCUCUUCAAAUUAAACAUUUAGUGCCUUAUUUAAGUUAAUAAAACAUUUUUUUAAAGUCCUAUAGCCUACACUAAUCAUGGCACAAUUUCUGUUUUAAAUUAAUUAGUAACAUGACGUUGGGUUUAGAAAGUUAGAAAAGGGAGGAAGUGAGGUAUGACAGAAGGGGAGUGGAGAAUUCAGAAAGUUAGAACGAGGACGGGAGAGAGGGGGAGUGGGAAAUUUGAAAUCCACAAACAAAGGAACAACAAAAAAAGGCUUAAAGAGUAUACUUUUUUAUCCUGGGAGAGUAUUCCGUUAAAUUCCUUUGGAUUAAGGAACACUGGAUCUUUUAUUGUUUCUUGUGGGAGGAACAUUACCCAAGAAGACAACAGCACAAGGAACUGGUUUGAGGUUUUUUGCCAGAACUGUUGUUGACUCGAAAAGAUACUAGAAACCUAACUUCCUCAUGCUCCUAAAUCCUUUGCUUCUAAGCUCCACUGAAAACUCCAAUUUUAUUCUCUCUGCUUGCCCGACACUGGCCUGACCUCUGCUCCUCAUCCCCUUGUUACAGGAGUACCACAGGGAUCUGCUCCGGGGCCUCUGCUGUUCUCCAUAUACACUAAAUCUCUUGGUUCAGUUAUUAAUUCACACGGCUUCUCCUAUCAUUGUUAUGCAGACGACACGCAACUCUUCUCCCCCCCCCCCCCCCCCGCCUCACAGGUUGAUGAUAAAAUAUCUUCCUGCCUGGCUGACAUCUCAACCUGGAUGGCCAGCCACUACCUGAAGCUCAUCCUCAACAAAACUGAGCUGCUGUUUUUCCCAUACAAGACCUCCCUGCUACGUGAGCUCUCAAUCACAGUUGAUGGCACCACAGCGACUGCCUCUCACUCUGCAAAGAGCCUGCGGGUGGUCCUGGACGACCAGCUGGACCUCAAAGAGCACAUCAAGGCAACAUCACGGUCCUGCAAAUUUCUUCUGUACAACAUCAGGAGGAUUCAACCAUACCUGACUAUGCACUCCACCCAGCUGCUUGUCCAGGCUAUGGUGACCUCCCACCUUGAUUACUCUCCUUGCAAGCCUGCCAGCUUGUGCCAUACAGCCACUACAGAUGACUAAAAAUGCUGCUGCCCAACUCAUUUUCAACCUUCCCAAAUUCUCCCACGUCACUCCUCUGCUGUGGUCACUCUCCACUGGCUACCGGUUGCUGCCAGGAACAGGUUCAAAGUCCUCACCCUCACCUACACUGCAGCCAACAGGAUGGCCCUUGUCUACUUGCAGGACAUGAUUAGAUUCUAUACGCCUGCUCGACCACUCCGCUCUGCAGCAGCAGGGCGCCUUGCACCCCCUCCCACCCGAGUAAAGGGAUCACAGAGCUUCUCCACCCUAGCUCCCCAGUGGUGGAAUGAACUCCCUGUCCCUCUUCAAACCUCCCCCUCACUACAUCUGGUCGGAAGACACAUCUUUUCAGACUAUACCUGGACUAACUGCCACCACUCUGUGAAUCAUUUCACUUUACAUCCCCCCUUUCAUGAUACUCAUUCCAGAACUUUUUGUAAUUUGUAUUUGCCCUAAUAUUGUAGCUUGUUCUUCUCCCUAGGCUUGGUAUAUGUUAGGUCAGAAUAAUGUUCACUGCGUGAACUGAACUGAGUUCUUGGCUAGAAAUAGCUGUACGAAAUGAGUAUUGUACCUUAUUGAACCUGUGUUUUGUAGUUGUCCAAUGACCAUGAUAUGCAAUUUUUUUUCAUCGCAUUGGAUAAAAGCGUCUGCUAAAUAAAUAUAAUGUAAUGUAACCUGCCAUUUGAUGGGUUUCCCUUUCCCUUAACCCAAUAAGGUAUAAGAUCACAAAUAUGCAGUUAGAAUGUUCUGAACAUUCUAAUGCUGAUGUAACAAUUACUACUGGUGAGUUAAAGAAAUGGAGUUCUAGAACUCUGAAUUUUGAAGGAAAAAAAACAUUACAAAAAAGUAAUGCUCCAACAAACCCAGCAAAAGAACCAUUCAGCUUUUGGAGGCUUCUAAUAAUCUAAGAAGCUUUGCUGUGCUGGGGUGUUCAAAGUCAUCAUGAACAUUUAUCUUUACCAGUUUCAAAAUAAAAUAUAAGGGCUUGCAUCAUUCUUUUUUAUUUAUGAGAAAAUCAGACCUAAUUGAAAAAAAACUAAAUUAUAUUAGAUAUGUUAGAAGACUUAGAAUUGUGUUUUUGAUUUAUUUUUAAUAAAUACUUUAUGAUGUUUUACAAUGACAAACUCCAUGUUAGGUCAGCGUGCUCCCCCUGUUGGUCACUUUGAAGUAACGGCACUGCAUUCUUCUGUUCAUACAACAACGCCGGUGUGUGUUCGUGUGUGCGAGACGGGUGCGUAAGAUUUUCCUCCAUCAAAACUCCUUACCCAUUAAAUAGCAAAAUCGUCGCUUAGCUUUUAACUCUUCCGCGUAAAUGGUUACAAAAAUAGAAAUAUUGGUUACAUUGGUCAUGUUUAUAUCUUCAGCUGAUAUCAGUAAUUAUUUGUGUAGGCUACUUAACAUCACGGGCACCAUAAAUACAUUUUUAUCCACGUUAAAUCAAUCGUCUGCAGCAAAACAGACAUGCUAAAAUUCCAUGCAUGUGUUUUGUCAUGGAAAUUUUUUCUGGUCGGAAGACACUUUUUUAAAAAAAAACUUCAAACCAUUCCUGACUCAAUCUCUUUAAGAAAUGAUGUAAGAGUAAGUGAAACAACAGUUUGGCCAGGACUUCGGCCUAUGUGAACAGCACACUACAUAGCACAGGUGGCACUGCUUGCUCCGCUUCUCCUAAAAGCCUCCUUGACCGCCAUCUUGGUACCAUUCAAUGGGGACACAAAACAGCAUGUAAAACGGGAAAGGAAGGUAUUUGCAGAUUAAGUCUUCAGCUGAAUAUUGAAAAUAGUUUUGCAGAUGCACACAAAAAAAGCAUUGCUCAUGUUGAAGUUUUGAAGAUAAAAGGCUUGUUUUAAGGCACUAUUAUUUCAAAAGGCACAAACAUUUCUUGACCUUAAACCCUUGAGACCGACCGAGCCAUAUGCCGAAUCGAGGAGAAAUAAAGAGGUUUGACAUUCAACGUAGAAGGGCGCCAAUGAGAACAAAGAGUAGGCGUUCCCAAAGUUUAAAAAUGUUGUAUUGAUACCUUUUCAGGCCAAUCAUAAUUAACUGCGCGCGUACUACAAGCCAAUCGUUACACACGCCGAGAUGGUUUAUGUUGAUCGGACU